AGUGAACGCUGGCGGUAGGCCUAACACAUGCAAGUCGAACGGCAGCACAGUAAGAGCUUGCUCUUACGGGUGGCGAGUGGCGGACGGGUGAGGAAUACAUCGGAAUCUACUUUUUCGUGGGGGAUAACGUAGGGAAACUUACGCUAAUACCGCAUACGACCUACGGGUGAAAGCAGGGGAUCUUCGGACCUUGCGCGAUUGAAUGAGCCGAUGUCGGAUUAGCUAGUUGGCGGGGUAAAGGCCCACCAAGGCGACGAUCCGUAGCUGGUCUGAGAGGAUGAUCAGCCACACUGGAAGUGAGACACGGUCCAGACUCCUACGGGAGGCAGCAGUGGGGAAUAGUGGACAAUGGGCGCAAGCCUGAUCCAGCCAUACCGCGUGGGUGAAGAAGGCCUUCGGGUUGUAAAGCCCUUUUGUUGGGAAAGAAAAGCAGCAGGUUAAUACCCCGCUGUUCUGACGGUACCCAAAGAAUAAGCACCGGCUAACUUCGUG
RNAcentral lists this ribosomal RNA (492 nucleotides) under uncultured bacterium. RNAcentral's name for it is "partial 16S ribosomal RNA". It matches the Rfam family "Bacterial small subunit ribosomal RNA", at positions 29 to 507 of the family's 1533-position model. The record is from RNAcentral.